GCCUGUUUAUCAAAAACAUGUCUUUUUGAAAAUAAUUUAAAGUCUAAUCUGCCCACUGAUAAAAUAUUGAAGGGCUGCAGUAUUUUGACUGUACAAAGGUAGCAUAAUCAUUAGUCUCUUAAUUAGUGACUUGUAUGAAGGAUUGGAUGAAAUAUAAACUGUCUCAAAAAUAAUUAAUUGAAAUUAAUUUUUUAAUUAAAAAGUUAAAAUAGAUUAAAAAGACGAGAAGACCCUAUAGAGUUUAAUAUUAAAUUAAAUUUAAAUCAUUUAUAAAUUUAUUUAUUUAUAAAUUUUAUUUAAUAUUUUGUUGGGGUGAUAAAAAAAUAAAAUAAACUUUUUUUAGUAAUAGCCAUAGAUAAGUGAUUAAAUGAUCCAAUUUUAUUGAUUAAAAGAAAAAAUUACCUUAGGGAUAACAGCGUAAUUUUUUUUUUUAGUUCUUAUAAGAAAUUAAAUUUGCGACCUCGAUGUUGGAUUAAGAUAAAAUUUAA
RNAcentral lists this ribosomal RNA (488 nucleotides) under Antheraea yamamai superba. RNAcentral's name for it is "partial 16S ribosomal RNA". The stretch from base 1 to 165 matches the Rfam family "Archaeal large subunit ribosomal RNA", at positions 1890 to 2099 of the family's 2987-position model. The record is from RNAcentral. Lineage: Eukaryota; Metazoa; Arthropoda; Insecta; Lepidoptera; Saturniidae.